AAAAAAAAAAAAAAAAAAAAAAAAAAAAAAAAAAAAAAAAAAAAAAAAAAAAAAAAAAAAAAAAGACACCACCACCAAAGGAUCCCAUGACACGAGCAGCUAUGACAAAAGGGGGAAAAAUACGAAUACUAAAAAGAUUUUAACUUCUUGUUUCUUAGGGCGGGGGGCGGUAUCCAACUCCUUUUCCUAUCCUCAGACCGUGUGUCCCUACACUGAAAAGUGUUGCCGGCGCUUCAGGACUGACUACCACAGGCACAACCUUGCGAGGUCCCCAUUUCCCCUCCCACGUGGUGCAGGCCAGCAUCGGUUCCCCGGCACUCCGCGGGCCACGGGUGCCGUGCGACACCUGCUCGCAGCCCUCCGGCCGUGCGCAGCUCCUCCGGCGCUAGCUACCCCGGGAUCAUCUCCAGCCUCCGCAGCCCAGAGGCGGUGAGCGACUGCAGCGCAGCCAGGGCGAGGGAAGCAGGGGGCUGGAGCCACGGGGGCUCGACGCGAUC
RNAcentral lists this long non-coding RNA (497 nucleotides) under Cricetulus griseus (Chinese hamster). RNAcentral's name for it is "lncRNA (ENSCGRG00000025492.1)". Lineage: Eukaryota; Metazoa; Chordata; Mammalia; Rodentia; Cricetidae. The record is from RNAcentral.